Molecule: unclassified non-coding RNA, 250 nt
Filed under: plant metagenome
Description: partial contains small subunit ribosomal RNA, internal transcribed spacer 1, and 5.8S ribosomal RNA
Source: RNAcentral
GUAGGUGAACCUGCGGAAGGAUCAUUAACGAAUGUAUGUCUGCUUUGUGAACUGGGUGGUAGAGGGGGAUGUUAAAGGGGUGUUGAAAUUUUUUAAUCAUGGCUUUAUUUAACGCUGUGGCUUUAAUUAACAAUGUGGCUUUAGAUAAGGGUUUGAUUAAAAGCUGUGGCUUUAAUUAAACAACCUUUAUUUAAACACUGCAGCUUUCAUUAAACAACCUUUAAUAUUACCAUCUCGUCCCACAACGUGU